CGUUAGGAUGAAGCCUAGCGACAGGCCUAACACAUGCAAGUCGAGGGGCAGCACAAGGAGCAAUCUGAGGUGGCGACCGGCGCACGGGUGAGUAACACGUAUGCAACCUGCCUGUAAGCGGGGAAUAACCCGUUGAAAGACGGACUAAUACCGCAUAAUACUAAAUUACUGCAUGGUAAUUUAUUUAAACAUUUAUGGCUUACAGAUGGGCAUGCGCAUGAUUAGCUAGUUGGAGAGGUAACGGCUCCCCAAGGCAACGAUCAUUAGGGGUUCUGAGAGGAAGGUCCCCCACACUGGUACUGAGACACGGACCAGACUCCUACGGGAGGCAGCAGUGAGGAAUAUUGGUCAAUGGACGAGAGUCUGAACCAGCCAAGUCGCGUGCAGGAAGAAUGUCCUAUGGAUUGUAAACUGCUUUUGCAGGGGAAUAAAGUGCAUCACGUGUGAUGUUUUGUAUGUACUCUGCGAAUAAGGAUCGGCUAACUCCGUGCCAGCAGCUGC
This 501-nucleotide ribosomal RNA is filed under the name uncultured bacterium. RNAcentral's name for it is "bacterial SSU rRNA". It matches the Rfam family "Bacterial small subunit ribosomal RNA", at positions 26 to 518 of the family's 1533-position model. The record is from RNAcentral.